GACGAACGCUGGCGGCGUGCCUAAUACAUGCAAGUCGAACGCUGAAGGAGGAGCUUGCUUCUCCGGAUGAGUUGCGAACGGGUGAGUAACGCGUAGGUAACCUGCCUGGUAGCGGGGGAUAACUAUUGGAAACGAUAGCUAAUACCGCAUAAGAGUAGAUGUCGCAUGACAUUUGCUUAAAAGGUGCAACUGCACCACUACCAGAUGGACCUGCGUUGUAUUAGCUAGUUGGUGAGGUAACGGCUCACCAAGGCAACGAUACAUAGCCGACCUGAGAGGGUGAUCGGCCACACUGGGACUGAGACACGGCCCAGACUCCUACGGGAGGCAGCAGUAGGGAAUCUUCGGCAAUGGACGGAAGUCUGACCGAGCAACGCCGCGGGAGUGAAGAAGGUUGUCGGAUCGUAAAGCUCUGUUGUAAGAGAAGAACGAGUGUGAGAGUGGAAAGUUCACACUGUGACGGUAGCUUACCAGAAAGGGACGGCUAACUACGUG
RNAcentral lists this ribosomal RNA (495 nucleotides) under uncultured bacterium. Its description in RNAcentral is "partial 16S ribosomal RNA". It matches the Rfam family "Bacterial small subunit ribosomal RNA", at positions 28 to 507 of the family's 1533-position model. The record is from RNAcentral.